GGCCACGUUUAUAAAGGAUUCAAUACACGGAUUGCAAAUCCGCCCAUGCCGGUUCGAUUCCGGCCUCGGCCUCCA
RNAcentral lists this transfer RNA (75 nucleotides) under Pseudomonas fragi. RNAcentral describes it as "tRNA-Cys". It matches the Rfam family "tRNA". Rfam says of the family: Transfer RNA (tRNA) molecules are approximately 80 nucleotides in length. Their secondary structure includes four short double-helical elements and three loops (D, anti-codon, and T loops). Lineage: Bacteria; Pseudomonadati; Pseudomonadota; Gammaproteobacteria; Pseudomonadales; Pseudomonadaceae. The record is from RNAcentral.